RNAcentral lists this long non-coding RNA (228 nucleotides) under Lathyrus oleraceus (garden pea). RNAcentral's name for it is "Pisum sativum (pea) long non-coding RNA (PSAT_LNC011788)". The record is from RNAcentral. Lineage: Eukaryota; Viridiplantae; Streptophyta; Magnoliopsida; Fabales; Fabaceae.
GAGAAUCUUGUCUAAGGAGUCAGAUCCAUUGCUUAACAUCCUUACAUACUUGGUCAUCUCUCCUAGUUUAGAAUUUAGGAACAUAGCUUCAGUUUUCAACUUAGAGAUGGUUUUCACAUGGUCUGCCUUCUCACUUUCCAGCUGAGUUAUCUUCUGACUUUCAGCUUGUUGAUUUUCAUCUAGCUUGGCAUUUAGACCCACUGCUUCUGUUUGUAAUUUGGAGAUGGU